CGAAAGCCUGUCUCAGUUCGGAUUGGAGUCUGCAACUCGACUCCAUGAAGCUGGAUUCGCUAGUAAUCGCGCAUCAGCCAUGGCGCGGUGAAUACGUUCCCGGGCCUUGUACACACCGCCCGUCAAGCCAUGGAAGCCGGGAGUGCCUGAAGUGCGUGACCGCAAGGAGCGUCCUAAGGCAAUACCGGUGACUGGGGCUAAGUCGUAACAAGGUAGC
Molecule: ribosomal RNA, 217 nt
Filed under: uncultured bacterium
Lineage: Bacteria
Description: partial 16S ribosomal RNA
Rfam family: Bacterial small subunit ribosomal RNA
Source: RNAcentral